RNAcentral lists this ribosomal RNA (301 nucleotides) under uncultured bacterium. Its description in RNAcentral is "partial 16S ribosomal RNA". It matches the Rfam family "Bacterial small subunit ribosomal RNA", at positions 509 to 808 of the family's 1533-position model. The record is from RNAcentral.
CAGUAGCCGCGGGAAUACAGAGGGUGCGAGCGUUAAUCGGAUUUACUGGGCGUAAAGCGUGCGUAGGCGGCUUUUUAAGUCGGAUGUGAAAUCCCUGAGCUUAACUUAGGAAUUGCAUUCGAUACUGGGAAGCUAGAGUAUGGGAGAGGAUGGUAGAAUUCCAGGUGUAGCGGUGAAAUGCGUAGAGAUCUGGAGGAAUACCGAUGGCGAAGGCAGCCAUCUGGCCUAAUACUGACGCUGAGGUACGAAAGCAUGGGGAGCAAACAGGAUUAGAUACCCGUUAGUCCCUGUCUCUUAUACC